GAUGAACGCUGGCGGCGUGCCUAAUACAUGCAAGUCGAGCGAACAGAUGAGGAGCUUGCUCCUCUGACGUUAGCGGCGGACGGGUGAGUAACACGUGUAUAACCUACCUAUAAGACUGGGAUAACUUCGGGAAACCGGAGCUAAUACCGGAUAAUAUAUUGAACCGCAUGGUUCAAUAGUGAAAGACGGUUUUGCUGUCACUUAUAGAUGGAUCCGCGCCGCAUUAGCUAGUUGGUAAGGUAACGGCUUACCAAGGCAACGAUGCGUAGCCGACCUGAGAGGGUGAUCGGCCACACUGGAACUGAGACACGGUCCAUACUCCUACGGGAGGCAGCAGUAGGGAAUCUUCCGCAAUGGGCGAAAGCCUGACGGAGCAACGCCGCGUGAGUGAUGAAGGUCUUCGGAUCGUAAAACUCUGUUAUUAGGUAAGAACAAAUGUGUAAGUAACUAUGCACGUCUUGACGGUACCUAAUCAGAAAGCCACGGCUAACUACGUG
RNAcentral lists this ribosomal RNA (497 nucleotides) under uncultured bacterium. RNAcentral describes it as "partial 16S ribosomal RNA". It matches the Rfam family "Bacterial small subunit ribosomal RNA", at positions 28 to 507 of the family's 1533-position model. The record is from RNAcentral.